This is a long non-coding RNA of Oncorhynchus keta (chum salmon), 3787 nucleotides long. RefSeq lists it as uncharacterized. Lineage: Eukaryota; Metazoa; Chordata; Actinopteri; Salmoniformes; Salmonidae. The transcript has 8 exons. The record is from RefSeq and is a predicted model, not a curated record.
CACUACUGUCUCCUCUGACAUCCAUCUGUCAGGCUAUCACUACUGUCUCCUCUGACAUCCAUCUGUCAGGCUAUCACUACUGUCUCCUCUGACAUCCAUCUGUCAGGCUAUCACUACUGUCUCCUCUGACAUCCAUCUGUCAGGCUAUCACUACUGUCUCCUCUGACAUCCAUCUGUCAGGCUAUCACUACUGUCUCCCCUGACAUCCAUCUGUCAGGCUAUCACUACUGUCUCCCCUGACAUCCAUCUGUCAGGCUAUCACUACUGUCUCCUCUGACAUCCAUCUGUCAGGCUAUCACUACUGUCUCCUCUGACAUCCAUCUGUCAGGCUAUCACUACUGUCUCCUCUGACAUCCAUCUGUCAGGCUAUCACUACUGUCUCCUCUGACAUCCAUCUGUCAGGCUAUCACUACUGUCUCCUCUGACAUCCAUCUGUCAGGCUAUCACUACUGUUUCCCCUGACAUCCAUCUGUCAGGCUAUCACUACUGUCUCCUCUGACAUCCAUCUGUCAGGCUAUCACUACUGUUUCCCCUGACAUCCAUCUGUCAGGCUAUCACUACUGUUUCCCCUGACAUCCAUCUGUCAGGCUAUCACUACUGUCUCCUCUGACAUCCAUCUGUCAGGCUAUCACUACUGUCUCCCCUGACAUCCAUCUGUCAGGCUAUCACUACUGUAUCCGCUGACAUCCAUCUGUCAGGCUAUCACUACUGUUUCCCCUGACAUCCAUCUGUCAGGCUAUCACUACUGUCUCCCCUGACAUCCAUCUGUCAGAUAUCACUAUUCCUCCCUUUUGCUCUCAAACUCUCUGACAGUCUUUCCUUUCUCUCACUCCCUCAGUCCCUCUUUCUCGCUCCCUCCUUGUCUCUCUAUCUCUCUCUCUCCCCCGUCUCUCUCUUUCUCUCCCUCACUCUCUCAAUCCAUUUUAGCUUGUAGUUUUUGCCGAAGAAUAAGUCCCGGUUAGAGGAAAUCAAUAGGGAGUCUGGCGUGACAAGCGUAUUCUUCUGGACACCGUGUUAAAUGAGGUAAUCCUGGACAGAGGACAGAUUGAUGGAGCAAGCUGACAGACGGAUCGAAGGAGGAGGAAGGAUACGGGUGGGGGGAGUGAAUUGGAGGGUGGCCACCCACAUCGGUGAAGACUGGAUUUCUUGAGAAAAUGUUUUAAUUUGAAUCUCCACUAAAGGAUAGUCAAUUAUAGUGGUGUCUUAAUCUCAGUAGUCCACCGGGAGGGAAGGAAGAUGAUCUCUGAAUUAGAUUUUGGAAGGUGAGACUGAAGAGAAGACACAGCACCCCAAAGCAAUACUCAAACAUUCCCUUUCCUUCGGUGAACAUUGAUAAUUGAACCAAGUGGAUAAGCUUCAACUUGACUAUUUAUACCUUUAAAGUGAUUUCAGGUCCAAGAUCAGGAAAGAAAGGAUAGGUAAGUAGAGAAGGCUACAUCCUAAACUGCGCCAAAAUAUUCCCUAGUCUCCAACCUUGUCUCCUUUCCUUGAUUACAAGUCCCUCUCUCCCCCACUCUCUCUCUCUCUCUCUCCCCCCUCUCUCUUCACUCUUCCUCUCUCUCUACUCUCUCUCUUCCCUUUCUCUCUCUCUCUUCUCCUCGUCUGCCUCUCUCUCUUCCUUCGGGCAUCUCUGAUUACAGGUCCUUUCAUUGCUUGAGGGGAGGUUACGCGUUCGGCCCAUAAUUAACACAGUCUAGAACCACUGCUGCCGCUCCAGUUCACCCUUCACAGACACUCCUUACUGUAGCGUGGUGCUGAGGGCUAGGCCAGGUUCAGACCAACAUGAGCCCUCCUUACUGUAGCGUGGUGCUGAGGGCUAGGCCAGGUUCAGACCAACAUGAGCCCUCCUUACUGUAGCGUGGUGCUGAGGGCUAGGCCAGGUUCAGACCAACAUGAGCCCUCCUUACUGUAGCGUGGUGCUGAGGGCUAGGCCAGGUUCAGACCAACAUGAGCCCUCCUUACUGUAGCGUGGUGCUGAGGGCUAGGCCAGGUUCAGACCAACAUGAGCCCUCCUUACUGUAGCGUGGUGCUGAGGGCUAGGCCAGGUUCAGACCAACAUGAGCCCUCCUUACUGUAGCGUGGUGCUGAGGUCUAGGCCAGGUUCAGACCAACAUGAGCCCUUCUUACUGCAGCAUGGGGCUGAGGGCUAGGCCAGGUUCAGACCAGCAUGAGCCCUCCUUACAGUAGCAUGGGGCUGAGGGCUAGGCCAGGUUCAGACCAACAUGAGCCCUCCUUACUGUAGCAUGGGGCUGAGGGCUAGGCCAGGUUCAGACCAACAUGAGCCCUCCUUACAGUAGCAUGGGGCUGAGGGCUCGGCCAGGUUCAGACCAACAUGAGCCCUCCUUACUGUAGCAUGGGGCUGAGGGCUAGGCCAGGUUCAGACCAACAUGAGCCCUCCUUACAGUAGCAUGGGGCUGAGGGCUCGGCCAGGUUCAGACCAACAUGAGCCCUCCUUACUGUAGCAUGGGGCUGAGGGCUAGGCCAGGUUCAGACCAACAUGAGCCCUCCUUACUGUAGCAUGGGGCUGAGGGCUAGGCCAGGUUCAGACCAACAUGAGCCCUCCUUACUGUAGCAUGGGGCUGAGGGCUAGGCCAGGUUCAGACCAACAUGAGCCCACCUUACUGUGUGUGUGUGUGUGAGUUUGAGGGGAGGGUAUACUGUGUGUGUGUAUGGGAGUAGCAUGGGGCUGAGGGCUAGGCCAGGUUCAGACCAACAUGAGCCGUCCUUACUAGCCUCCAUGCUGGCUCAAGCAGCAAUCCAACAUGUGCGCCAGUCCCAGGUAGGCCAGUGUUCUGCAGUACAGUUAACUCUACAUUUGGACACAAAAUGGCCGCUGCCUAUACUGUACAAUGGGCCUUGGUGCUUAGACAGACCACGGGUAAUCAUACUAUCGUAGAAAUGGUUGUGCUACUAUGUACAUCCUUCAUAAAACGUAGGUAUUGGGUUAAUGGAUAAAAAUACCUUACGCUGUAUGCUCCUAAUAACACGUAUACAACGUAUAUAAAACGUUUAUACAGCGUUUCGAUAAAGAGGAUAUUCGUCAGGUGAAAACUCUCACGUGAUCUAAACAUUGGCUAGGGCUAGUAACUGGAAGGUUGCAAGUUCAAAUCCCCGAGCUGACAAGGUACAAAUCUGUCGUUCUGCCCCUGAACAGGUAGUUAACCCACUGUUCCUAGGCCGUCAUUGAAAAUAAGAAUCUGUUCUUAACUGACUUGCCUAGUUAAAUAAAGGUGAGAAAAAAAACGAAAAAAACCCGUCAUUAAAGGCGUCUGUGAUCUUCUCCAAACCCAUCCCUCAGGUGUUCACCAAAACAGUGGCAGGGUGCCUGCUUUGUAGUUGUUUGAAGAGCGGAUUGCCCCUUUAAACGUGGUAUAAAGAGCAAUCAUACUAUCGCCCGCAUGACACCUACCCCAUCAGCACUGUAUAGUCAUGUGAUGGAGGAAAAUGGCCGCAAUCAGCUUGGCUUCCUCCAGCCUCACUGAUGAUACAGGUGAAAGGUGAAAGGUUAAAUGGAACAUGUGCUAGGCAUAAACAGUAGGAGCCAUUCUAAGAGGCAGAGCAACACGAAUAGAAAUACAAUGAGUCAUCUCUAAGGACAGCAGUCAAACACACACACACACACACACACACACACACACACACACACACACACACACACACACACACACACACACACACACACACACACACACACACACACACACACACACACACACACACACACACACACACACACACAAACAAACAAACAAACAAACACACACACACACACACAUGGACCUACACA